Long non-coding RNA from Dendrobium catenatum, 643 nucleotides. RefSeq lists it as uncharacterized. The transcript has 3 exons. NCBI's taxonomy places the organism in Eukaryota, Viridiplantae, Streptophyta, Magnoliopsida, Asparagales, Orchidaceae. The record is from RefSeq and is a predicted model, not a curated record.
UCUUCCAGGUGCAAACCUUCACAUCCUACCCUCCUUUGAUGCCAUCGAUCGAAGGAAUUUCCCCGUCGUCGUCUUCUUCCAUGGCGGUGGAUUCGAGUUCCUCUUUAUCGACAACUACUCUGAUCUCUUACGCAAAACCUCUAAGUUGCUCGAUAUGACUAUGGCAUAUCGGCCACAACCCCCUCCGAUUCAUCGAUUUUGGCGGAAUCGAUGCCGUCGCCAGUGGAUAUUAAUAGAAGUUACCCGCAGCUUGCUAUAAAGAAAAACCACUAAAGAUUGAUCUUAAAGAUUGGGGGAGAUCGAUGACAAUCGAUUUGGAUUUUGGAAGGUUGAUUUUCUUUGUUCACAAUCUCAGUUAUCUAUAUUCGCAAUUACAGGAAUAUUCGCGAGACAGAGAAAAAUGAAGUUUAGCGUCUUAGCAUUGUACGAAGAUCCAGCACGCAAGCAGAAAGAGAGAGAUCAAGACACCCGAUCUUUUUUAUCUGGAAAACCCGAAGAGGGAAAAACCACGGAGCCUCGCCCAUGUGAAAAGAUUCCACUAAACUUGACUGAAUUGCAAGGGUUGACCCGUCCCUCGAUUUAGAGGUGGUCAGAUUACAGUAAUUUGAAGAGUUAGUCAAAGGACCGAUGACGGUCGUACAAA